RNAcentral lists this long non-coding RNA (361 nucleotides) under Cucumis sativus (cucumber). RNAcentral describes it as "long non-coding RNA (CSAT_LNC000169)". Lineage: Eukaryota; Viridiplantae; Streptophyta; Magnoliopsida; Cucurbitales; Cucurbitaceae. The record is from RNAcentral.
UUAAAUACCACGAAUGAAUUUCAGUCUGUCCGUGCUUUGAUCUUGAUCCACCGUUCUAAUCCUCUCUCUCAAUCUGCCUAAAUCUCAUGUGGCCGGACUGAAUUCACCGAGAAAUUAAAACCACAAUAAACAUCCAGAUCUGAAGUCUAUAUCACGUAAAAACCCUGCCGUAAAUCACCACGAAAUGUCUUCAAUUGAUCUGAAAGCCUCUGAAUGCACAUUCUUCAACAAUCUAAGAUUGAUCAUUAAACGAUCAAAUUCAGACCACCUGCAAAACUCCUCUUUCACCAGCGGAGCGGGAGAAAUUAGAAUUUUUUUGGGAGACGCACGUUAAUUACACGCGCCCACUUCUUAUCCUCCG